Molecule: ribosomal RNA, 459 nt
Filed under: uncultured bacterium
Lineage: Bacteria
Description: partial 16S ribosomal RNA
Rfam family: Bacterial small subunit ribosomal RNA
Source: RNAcentral
CCUACGGGCGGCAGCAGUGAGGAAUAUUGGUCAAUGGCCGCAGGGCUGAACCAGCCAAGUCGCGUGAGGGAUGACGGUCCUAUGGAUUGUAAACCUCUUUUGUCAGGGAGCAAAGGGCGCCACGUGUGGCGCUUUGCGAGUACCUGAAGAAAAAGCAUCGGCUAACUCCGUGCCAGCAGCCGCGGUAAUACGGAGGGUGCGAGCGUUAUCCGGAUUUAUUGGGUUUAAAGGGUGCGCAGGCGGAAUGUCAAGUCAGCGGUAAAAUUUCGGGGCUCAACCCCGUCGUGCCGUUGAAACUGGCGUUCUUGAGUGAGCGAGAGGUAUGCGGAAUGCGUGGUGUAGCGGUGAAAUGCAUAGAUAUCACGCAGAACCCCGAUUGCGAAGGCAGCAUACCGGCGCUCAACUGACGCUCAUGCACGAAAGCGCGGGUAUCGAACAGGAUUAGAUACCCUGGUAGUC